Molecule: non-coding RNA, 2231 nt
Organism: Mus caroli (Ryukyu mouse)
Lineage: Eukaryota; Metazoa; Chordata; Mammalia; Rodentia; Muridae
Source: RefSeq, a predicted model, not a curated record
CUGAGUGUUGACAUUGAGUGCUUCAGAUCUGGUCACUAUGGUACGAGAACGAAAAUGCAUAUUGUGCCACAUCGUGUAUGGCUCAAAAAAGGAGAUGGAUGAACACAUGCGAAGCAUGUUGCAUCACAGGGAACUUGAGAACCUGAAGGGCAGGGACAUUAGUCAUGAGUGCCGAGUGUGCCGGGUCACAGAAGUGGGUCUCUCUGCAUAUGCAAAGCACAUUUCUGGCCAGUUGCACAAAGAUAAUGUUGAUGCCCAGGAAAGAGAAGAUGAUGGAAAGGAAGAGGAAGAGGAAGAUUAUUUUGAUAAGGAACUUGUUCAGUUAAUACAAGAAAGAAAAGAACAAAGUCGACAAGAUGAACCUCCCAGUAACAGCCAAGAAGUAAACUCAGAUGACAGGCAGCCCCAGUGGAGACGAGAAGACCAAAUCACUUACCAAGACAGAGAGAGCUAUAGUCAGCCACCUAGACACCAUCGUGGACCCCCACAGAGAGACUGGAAAUGGGAAAAGGAUGGCUUUAAUAGUACUAGAAAAAACAGCUUUCCACAUUCUUUGAGGAAUAGUGGUGGACCAAGAGGAAGUUCUGUCUGGCAUAAAGGUGCUACAAGAGGCUCUUCAACUUGGUUCCUUAAUCAUACUUCAGAAGGCCUACUUGAGUUCAAUUUUGAACAGCGAGAAAGUCAAACCACUAAACAAACAGACACGGCAGCCUCAAAAAUUAAUGGAAAAAAUGGCACCAAAGCAAGGGACAAGUUCUGCCGCUGGACACCUUACCCUUCCCAGAAGACUCUAGAUUUACAGUCAGCCCUGAAAGAAGUCAUUGGCAGCAAGUCAGACACACUAGAGAAGCCUCUCUUUAAUUUUAGCUUAAUAACUGCAGGACUGCGCAAACCAGUUGAUAAAACAAGUAAUCCUCCAAUGCUAAAAACACAAAAGGAAGGACCUCCUGGAUCUCCCAGUCACAAAGCCAUUUCUGAUGGCACUGCUUUCUGUGAGGCGGCAAGAGCUUGCCCCAUUACUGAGCAAUCUGAGCCACAUCAGAAGUCACAUAAGGUUCCAUUACUGAAAUCCCCACUCCUUCCACUUCCAACCCCUAAAUUAGGUCCUCAUAAGCAUAAUUUAAAGAACUGCUCAAAAAAUAAUGAGACAAAGUCCUUUCCUUCUGGAGAUCACUCACAUCCCCUGAACACGUCUACUCUAGAAGGUAGCCUUGGUUCUUCCUACACAUCCAAAUCACACAGUUUAUGUCCUCGUGUUUUAAAGGAGAAUAAAACUGUAUUAGGCACUCAAAAAGAACCUAAUGAGAAGUUAAAUAGCACAUCACAGAAAGCCCAAGAAACAGUGCUACAGUGUCCCAAAACACUGCAGAAUCCACUCCCUACCACACCCAAAAGGACGGAGAAUGAUGCAAAAGAAAGUAGUGUAGAAGAGUCUGCCAAAGAGUCUGUGAGCAUCGAGUCUCAGCCACACUCAGCUGGAAACAGUGCCACCACAUCUGAUGCAGAAAACGAUGGCAUAAAAAGUGAAGGUGUAGCUUCACUGACCACAGAGGUUGUGUCCUGCAGCACUCACACCGUGGAUAAGGAACAAGAGAGCCAGAUCCUAGGAACACCCAAGAACCUGUCCGCCUCCCCACAUAAUUCCACAGUUCACCAGAAAGAAGCUGAGUUACAAGUGUCAGCAGCGACCAGUCCACACUCUGGCUUACUGCUAGACUUGAAGCCCUCUCUAGAAGAUACACAGGAUAACAUCCUUGUUAAAUCUGAAGGACCUUUUGAAACUGAGAGCUUUGAGGACACUAGCCUGGAUGCAGAGCUUCAAAAAACUGAUCUCAAUAAUCAGCCCCCAGGCACGCUUCUUCCCUAACUAAGUAAACUUGGUUUUCCCGCCUCGCUCCAGAGAGAUCUAAGCCGGCAUAUCAGUUUGAAGUCCAAAACAGGAACAUAUCUCCCAGAGCCAAACCUCAAUAGCGCUCGACGAAUUCGCAAUGUUAGUGGCCAUAGAAAGAAUGAAACAGAAAAGGAAUCUGGGCUUAAGCCAACCCUACGACAGAUUCUAAAUGCAUCAAGGAGAAAUGUUAACUGGGAACAGGUCAUUCAGCAAGUAACCAAGAAAAAGCAAGAGCUGGGCAAAGGCUUACCCAGGUGUGUGCCUCUCAUACCUGUCCUUGGUUUCUUUUAAAGGUUACCACACUUUGGCCUUGAUUAAACGCAAGUUCUUGUUCAACUUA